RNAcentral lists this unclassified non-coding RNA (377 nucleotides) under plant metagenome. Its description in RNAcentral is "partial contains 5.8S ribosomal RNA, internal transcribed spacer 2, and large subunit ribosomal RNA". The stretch from base 1 to 105 matches the Rfam family "5.8S ribosomal RNA", at positions 50 to 154 of the family's 154-position model. The record is from RNAcentral.
GAAAUGCGAUAAGUAAUGUGAAUUGCAAAAUUCAGUGAAUCAUCGAAUCUUUGAACGCACCUUGCGCUCCUUGGUAUUCCUUGGAGCAUGCCUGUUUGAGUAUCAUGAAAUCUUCAAAGUAAAUCUUUUGUUAACUCAAUUGGUUUCUACUUUGGUAUUGGAGGUCUUUGCAGCUUCACACCUGCUCCUCUUUGUUCAUUAGCUGGAUCUCAGUGUUAUGCUUGGUUCCACUCGGCGUGAUAAGUUAUCUAUCGCUGAGGACACUGUAAAAGGUGGCCAAGGUAAAUGCAGAUGAACCGCUUCUAAUAGUCCAUUGACUUGGACAAUACUUUUAUGAUCUGAUCUCAAAUCAGGUAGGACUACCCGCUGAACUUAAG